UAGGGAAUCUUCGGCAAUGGGGGCAACCCUGACCGAGCAACGCCGCGUGAGUGAAGAAGGUUUUCGGAUCGUAAAGCUCUGUUGUAAGUCAAGAACGGGUGUGAGAGUGGAAAGUUCACACUGUGACGGUAGCUUACCAGAAAGGGACGGCUAACUACGUGCCAGCAGCCGCGGUAAUACGUAGGUCCCGAGCGUUGUCCGGAUUUAUUGGGCGUAAAGCGAGCGCAGGCGGUUUGAUAAGUCUGAAGUUAAAGGCUGUGGCUCAACCAUAGUUCGCUUUGGAA
This 284-nucleotide ribosomal RNA is filed under the name uncultured bacterium. Its description in RNAcentral is "partial 16S ribosomal RNA". It matches the Rfam family "Bacterial small subunit ribosomal RNA", at positions 355 to 631 of the family's 1533-position model. The record is from RNAcentral.